UACGUAGGGUGCGAGCGUUAAUCGGAAUUACUGGGCGUAAAGCGUGCGCAGGUGGUUUGUUAAGACAGAUGUGAAAUCCCCGGGCUUAACCUGGGAACUGCAUUUGUGACUGCACGGCUAGAGUACGGCAGAGGGGGAUGGAAUUCCGCGUGUAGCAGUGAAAUGCGUAGAUAUGCGGAGGAACACCAAUGGCGAAGGCAGUCCCCUGGGCCUGUACUGACGCUCAUGCACGAAAGCGUGGGGAGCAAACAGG
This 253-nucleotide ribosomal RNA is filed under the name uncultured bacterium. Its description in RNAcentral is "partial 16S ribosomal RNA". It matches the Rfam family "Bacterial small subunit ribosomal RNA", at positions 524 to 776 of the family's 1533-position model. The record is from RNAcentral.